Molecule: ribosomal RNA, 255 nt
Filed under: uncultured bacterium
Lineage: Bacteria
Description: partial 16S ribosomal RNA
Rfam family: Bacterial small subunit ribosomal RNA
Source: RNAcentral
UACGUAGGGUACAAGCAUUAAUCGGAAUGAUUGGGCGUAAAGGGCGCGUAGGCGGCUCAGUAAGUCAGAUGUGAAAUUCCAAAGCUCAACUUUGGAGCUGCAUAUGAAACUACUGAGCUAAAGAGGUAAGACGGAGGAAGCGGAAUUCCACGUGUAGCGGUGAAAUGCGUAGAUAUGUGGAGGAACACCUGUGGCGAAAGCGGCUUUCUAGUUUUAACCUGACGCUGAGGCGCGAGAGCAAGGGGAGCAAACAGG